RNAcentral lists this long non-coding RNA (611 nucleotides) under Rattus norvegicus (Norway rat). Its description in RNAcentral is "long non-coding RNA NONRATT021086". Lineage: Eukaryota; Metazoa; Chordata; Mammalia; Rodentia; Muridae. The record is from RNAcentral.
GGCGGUGGGGAAGCAGCACGCAUCACUCGGCCCCUGCCUGCACCCAGCCGCCAGUUGCCGGUUGCUAAGCAGUUAUUGUUUCUGUGGCGAUUGCAGAGGCUGUGGCUAAUUGGAGAAGCCCCACUGAGCAGCAGCGUCUUCUUCUGCCGAGCCCGUCUCUGCUCUUUGCAUUUAAAGAGCAAACUAGGCUGCUCUCCCCAGCUCCCUCCCCCCACCGCCCCCCAAAAACCUGGUCAUUUUGGAAGUAUGGACUAAAAUCGCUCUCCUCCUCACCCUACCAUUCCGAUCCCGGUGCCUCCAAAGUCACAGUCAGACCCCUCCUGUGUCUGGGGUGGCGAGUGCCCGGACAGACCAUGACCACCGCCAAGGAGCCCAGCGCCUCAGGAAAAUCUGUACAGCAGCAGGAUCAGGGAACAAAGCAAGGAGUCCUGGCUUCAAGUGAUGUCCAAGCUGCACUGCUAAGAUGAUGGCUGCACUGUCCUACAAACAGAACACUACAGAUGACCCGUGUGUGAUUCACAUAUAUCUGCACAUGACUUCUACUAACUUCUCCUAGGUUACUUCUACUAUUUGUGAAAAUAUAAAGUUAAAAUAAAACCAAAUAAACCAAA